GGUGGAGGUGGGGGUGGGGGGCAACUGUCUUCUGGGGAGGCCAGCUUGAUGGAGGCCGCUUUCCUCAGAGAAGACAGUGGCGCUCCACAUGUUCCAAAUAGGUCUCAUUUUGUCCCCGUUUCCCUUUCCACCCACGUGCAGCCCAGGCAGCCGCCCUUACUGGUUGCUCAGGUUGGACAGGGAGUGUGCUGGUUGCUGGUAUUUUCCCUUAAAGCAUCUUGGCAGCAAUCCUGGCCGUUUAGAUCUCUGGAUAUCACAAGCUGGGCAGGUGCCUGCGCUUUAUCAACAGGAUGAGUCUUACAGGUGUUUCACAAGGUCCCGGAAGUCUGUUGCCCGACCCCCCACCUUCCCCAAUGCAGGAACUAAGGGACACCCACAUUCUCUCUUUCUUAGACGUGGCCCAAUUUACCACCAAAUGUAGCUCCCCCCCCCCCCCAGAAGCGUGCAGGAUCUAAGGAGAUAAAAGAGUUGGACAUUGCUGGUUUCUGCUUCUUUAUUCACCUGGAAAAUGGACUCAACAUAGACCUGGCAGUUAGAGCCGGCCUGUGAGGGCUGGCAGAGUUCCUGUGAGGGAGGCAGAUGAUGUAAUGGAAAGAGCUCAAGUCUGGGACACUAAUGGGUGGGCUCUUCUUAGCCACCACCUCGCAAAGGGACCGUGACCGGUCCUUUCCUUCUCUGUGCCUCAGUUUCCUCAACUUAUGACAAGAGGAUUGGCCCCAGAGGGCCCCAGAGGGCCCGAGAGGCAUUUUCUCAGCUCACCAUCCAUCCAGUGCCGGAUUAGGUGGCUCACAGACCAGAAGGGUCGCAGACUGUUUUAUUUUCCAAAAAGAUCUCCAUCAGACAAUCCUACCUCUGCUUAUUGUUUUGUUUACUGUGGAAAUUCCAUUCGAAAGUACAGAAAGUACAGGAUUAUGAUCGGAAUCAAGACUAAUUCCCAACUAGGACUGUACCGGGCAGUGUUCAAGCACUACCCAGCUACUAGCCCCAGCUAAGUGCUGUGGCUAUAAAGUUAAGAUGGAAUAACCCCGCCCCUUUGAGCUGUACACAGCCGGGUCAGGAAGACAGAUGAGUAACUGGUCUUUGCAUUGCACCGUGAUGAGUACUACCGUCGUGUAUUUAUAAGGCACAUGCAGAGAAUGGCCAUAUAAACCUGGGGUGGAGUCCUCUGUGGGCUCCUGGAGGAAGUGUCACUAUAGGGUAAGCGGCACCUAAUGGGGAAUCAGGUCUCUCAGACCAUGGUGUUUGUUCAACAGACACCUGCUGCCUGUCAUCCCACGCACCUCAUCCUUUAAAUACAGACAGUUAUCCCAGUGUCCACCUAGCUAUCCCUUGGGUCUGGAAGGUGAUUGGAACAGUGGCCACUAAGUUGGAGCCCCUGGAGCAGGUCUUGAGUAGGUCGGAAGAAAGCAUGGAAUCUGGCUUGUACCCUGGAGGCAGAACUAUAGGUUCCCAUAGCAUUUUAUUUUAUUUUUUCAGUGUGGAAUGCUGGAAACCAGCAUCCAGUUCACACAUGCAUAUCCCUGUACUCUCAUUGUUUCCUUUUUCCUUUUUCCCUUUUCCUUCUCCUUUCCUUUUUCUUUUUCUGGCACAUGUUGGGAAGAAUGAGUUGGAAGUCCCUGAAGGCGAUUGGAUUCUGAAAACCUCUGCAGUCAUGGCGGGCUUCUUGGAGAAGGUGCCGGGGAGGUAAGAUGAGGACUAGCUGAACUAGUUAGGUUGGCAACUUGGCUUAAGGGCCUCCUAGAUCCCGGGCUGCGCUUGGCCGCGCCACCCUUCCCGCGUUCGACCUUUGUUCCUGCACUAACCUCCCAUCAACCGAAGUGGUGUUAUCACUUCCCCCUUUCUGCGCCGUGCGUGACUCAAGGCUCGCCCUCGGCGCCUGCUUCCCUGGCCGCGCGCGGUUGCGGGCGCAUCCCGAGGCUGGGAAGUGUCCUCGGCAGCGCAGCCAGGCCCCGCCUCUAGGGCCCGCAGCUCAAGAGCAGGCUCGGAGCGGCGAGCCGGGGCGCACCUCGGCGCAACCUGCGGGCUCCGGGGGAGCCUCUCCCCGCCGCGCCGGCUGGCGGGAGCGGACUGAGGCCGGCGCUGCCCGUUAGCAGCCGCGACGGCAGGAGCCUCCUAAUUACUCACCACGCUAAUUGCCCAGCACUGAACUUCAGGAGCCGGUCCGAAGAGGAGCUCCGGGGCGCAGAGAGGGCGGAAGGUGUCUAGGACCGAACCCCGCCUGGGUUAAGUGCCCGCCCGUCCCCGGCUGGCAGCCAGCUCGCCUUCAGCGGGAGGCCGGAGUCACCGCCGGGGGAACCGGGAGGUGCGCCCGGACCACACCGGACCCCCUCCCCCAUCGCCGCCUCUAGGAGGCGCAGAAAGUGGGGGGCGCCAGCUUGGCGCGGGGGGCGGGCGCGGAGAACCAGAGGGGCUGCGGGGACACCGAGAUGGCCGAUGAGAUCGACUGGCUGGACCUGCCAGGCCGAUGGACCUACGGAGUGGACCGCGGCGGGAGAAUCUUCUUCAUCAAUGAUGAGGAGAAGUCAACCAGCUGGGUGCACCCUGGUACAGCCUCACCCAUCCAGAGUGGACACUCUGCCGGCCCAGGUUUGCCUAAGGGUUGGGAGAUGGAUUCUACCCCGGAAGGAGCUGCAUACUUCAUCAACCACAAUGAAAGACGCAACACAUUUCGACAUCCAGUGACUGGCCAGAUCCCAGAGGAGAACAAAAAGUUUGACUUGAAAACAUCGGCCUUGGACAUGUCCAACAAAACAGGUGGGAAACGUUCUGCUACCAUCAACAGCGACAUAGCCAACCACAACAUGGUGUCUGAGGUUCCUCCAGAGCGGCCCAACAUCCGGGCGACUCGAACUUCCCGAAAAGCCAUUGCCUUUGGUAAACGCGCACACUCCAUGAAGCGGAACCCCAAUGCACCUGUUACCAAGGCGGGCUGGCUCUAUAAGCAGGCCAGCUCCGGGGUGAAGCAGUGGAAUAAGCGUUGGUUUGUCCUGGUGGAUCGCUGCCUCUUUUACUACAAAGAUGAGAAGCAGGAGAGCAUCCUGGGCAGCAUCCCCCUGCUGAGCUUCCGGGUGGCGGCUGUGCAGCCUUCAGACAACAUCAGUCGGAAGCACACGUUUAAGGUGACUGUUCACUGGGUAGAUGAGGCUGGGGCCAGUUCUACGCACUGCCUCUCCCCACAGGCAGAGCACGCUGGAGUCCGCACCUACUUCUUCAGUGCCGAGAGCCCCGAGGAGCAGGAGGCCUGGAUCCAGGCCAUGGGCGAGGCUGCUCGGGUCCAGAUCCCUCCAGCCCAGAAGUCAGUGCCUCAGCCUGUGCGUCACAGCCUCGAGAAGCCAGACUCAGAGAACAUCCCACCCAGCAAACACCAUCAGCAGCCACCUCACAACAAUCUCACCAAGCUGGAGCCUGAGGCCAAGACUCGAGGGGAGGGCGACGGCAGGGGCUGUGAGAAGGCCGAGCGCAGGCCUGAGAGGCCUGAAGUCAAGAAAGAGACUUUGGUAAAAGCCAAUGGCCUCCCGUCUGGACCUGAGACAGCCUCAGAGCCUGGCAGCCCUUACCCCGAUGGCCCGAGGGUUCCAGGAGGUGGGGAACACCCUGCUCAGCCCAAUGGCUGGCAGUAUAGCUCCCCAAGCCGACCAGGGAGCACAGCUUUUCCACCUCAUGAUGGGGACUCUGGGGGACAGCGGCGGAGCUUUCCACCACGUACUGACCCUGACAAAAUUGCCCAGCGCAAAAGCUCUAUGAACCAGCUUCAGCAGUGGGUGAACCUGCGCCGAGGGGUGCCCCCACCCGAAGACCUUCGGAGCCCUUCAAGGUUCUACCCUAUGCCCCGCCGGGUCCCUGACUAUUACAAUCCCUACUCCUCCCAGUAUCCUGAUGAUUACCAGUACUACCCACCAGGGGUGCGGCCCGACAGCAUCUGCUCCAUGCCAGCCUACGAUAGGAUUAGUCCACCCUGGGCCCUGGAGGACAAGCGCCACUCCUUCCGGAAUGGGGGUGGACCCACUUACCAGCUUCAUGAGUGGAAGGAGUCUACCAGCUACGGGCGGCAGGAUGGCACCGUUUGGAUCCCCAGCCCCUCCCGACAGCCAGUCUUUUAUGACGAGCUGGAUGCCGCCUCUGGCUCCUUGCGCCGCCUGUCCUUGCAGCCCCGGUCCCACUCUGUGCCCCGCUCGCCCAGCCAGGGCUCCUACAGCCGUGCCCGCAUCUACUCCCCAGUGCGCUCACCUAGCGCCCGUUUUGAUCGGCUGCCACCACGCAGUGAGGACAUCUAUGCAGAUCCCGCUGCCUACGUGAUGAGGCGAUCUAUCAGCUCCCCAAAGUAUGAUUACCUGGGAGACAGGCGGCCAGUCCCUGCAGGACUGUUCCCCUACAACUACCCAUCAUCCCCCACGGUCCACGAUAAGAUGGAUGAACUGUUAGAUCUUCAGUUGCAAAGAAACCUAGAGUAUUUGGACCAGCAGAUGAGCGAGAGCGAGACUCUCAUCAGCAUGGUGAACCGAAUGGUGGAGAACUCCUCUCCCAGGGCCCACCUUUUCAUGCAAGUCCCUGCAUACCCAGAGGUGUUCCGGGAUGGCCUCCACACCUUCAAGCUAAACGAGCAAGACACGGAUAAGCUGCUGGGCAAGCUGUGUGAGCAGAACAAGGUAGUAAGGGAACAGGAGCGGCUGGUGCAGCAGCUGCGGGCAGAGAAGGAGAGCCUAGAAAGUGCCUUGAUGGGAACCCACCAGGAGCUGGAGAUGUUUGGGAGCCAGCCCGCCUACCCAGAGAAGCUGCUGCACAAGAAGGAGUCUCUGCAGAACCAACUUAUCAACAUCCGGGUGGAGCUGUCACAGGCGACCACGGCACUGACCAACAGUACAGUGGUGUAUGAGAACCUCGAAUCGGAGGUCUCUGCCCUGCAUGACGAACUCUGGGAGCAGCUCAACUUGGAUAUCCAGAAUGAGGUGCUCAAUCGGCAAAUCCAAAAGGAGAUCUGGAGGAUCCAGGAUGUGAUGGAAGGGCUGAGGAAGAACAACCCCUCUCGGGGCACUGACACAGCCAAGCACAGAGGAGGACUUGGACCGUCAGCCACCUACAGCUCCAACAGCCCAGCCAGCCCUCUCAGCUCUGCCAGCCUUACCAGUCCCCUGAGCCCCUUUUCAAUGGUGUCUGGCUCUCAGGGUUCUCCCACUAAGCCAGGGUCCAGUGAGGAACCUGGCCCACCUCGGCCACCCCUCCCCAAAGCCUACGUCCCCCUGGAAUCUCCUCCCACCGUCCCUCCACUCCCCAAUGAGAGCCGCUUCUGGCCAUACCCCAACUCCCCUUCCUGGCAUCGAAGUGGCGAGACAGCCAAGGGCCAGCCCAAAACAGGCUAUGAGACAAGCAAGAAAGACCCGAGCCAGACAUCACCCCUGGGUACCCCUAGAGAUAUCAACCUGGUACCCACCAGACAAGAGGUGGAGGCAGAGAAGCAGGCAGCUCUCAACAAAGUUGGCAUUGUACCCCCUCGGACCAAAUCUCCUGCUGAGGAGGAGUUGACACCAUCAGCAGUGGUGAGAAGGACCACGAAUGGACUCACCAAUGGCCUCUCCUCACGGCAAGAGCGCCCCAAGAGUGCUGUGUUCUCUGGAGAGGGCAAGGUGAAAAUGAGUGUCGAGGAGCAGAUGGACCGGAUGAGGCGGCAUCAGAGCGGUUCCAUGAAGGAAAAGCGGAGGAGCCUACAGCUCCCAGCCAGCCCAGCCCCUGAGCCCAGCACCCGGCCUGCCUACAAAGUGGUGCGCCGUCACCGCAGCAUCCAUGAAGUAGACAUCUCCAACCUGGAGGCAGCCCUGAGAGCCGAGGAACCUGGUGGUCAGGCAUAUGAGACACCACGGGAGGAGAUCGCGAGGCUCCGCAAGAUGGAGCUGGAGCCUCAGCACUACGAUGUGGACAUCAGUAAGGAGCUCUCUACUCCAGACAAAGUCCUCAUCCCUGAACGGUACAUUGACCUGGAACCUGACACUCCCUUGAGCCCGGAGGAGUUGAAGGAGAAGCAGAAGAAGGUGGAGAGGAUCAAGACGCUCAUUGCCAAAUCCAGUAUGCAGAACGUGGUGCCCAUCGGCGAGGGGGACUCUGUGGACGUGCCCCAGGACUCAGAGAGCCAGCUGCAGGAGCAGGAGAAGCGGAUUGAAAUCUCCUGUGCCCUGGCGACCGAGGCCUCCCGCAGGGGCCGCAUGCUGUCUGGUGAGAGGGGCUGGGCCUCGCUCCGCCAGGGACACCAGCUGACCAGGUGUAGGGGAGGAAGUGCAGCAUUGCCAGGGGGGCAGGCUCAGGAGAGACGCCAGGCCAAGGAGGUGGUUCAUAGGGUCAGACCGAGCAUUCACUAAGCACUGGGUUUGUGCUAGGCUCAGUACGAAGGGGCCAGAGUGGCCGACCUCCAGGGGCUUAGCUGUCAUGAUGCUCACAGCCACUUUAUAGAGGACUGGUCAGAGGCGGCAGGGAACUUGGGGCCAUGUGCCUCUGGAAAGUCACAGAGAAGGCAAUGGCACUUCCUUAGGAAGCAUAAUCACACUUACCACCAUGGCUGAGAGGACUAGGUGUUUAGGAUUCCUUCUGCUUUUCUUCCUUGCUACAUGCAAACAGAAGAAUGGAAAGAUGAUCCCCCUCCUUCCCCUCCCCCCCAAAAAAGACAAGGCAGACAAGGACUUGAGAGCUAUUUCAUCUCUAUCUUGGCUGCUGAUCCAACUUAACUUUCCUAAGAAGAGACCUGCUAGGAAGAGGAAGUGACUUCACACUGACACAAAGGUCCCAAUUAGAUACCAUAGAGGUGAAGUCACUGGACUGACUUCCACAGGCUAGAGUAGCCUCCUGGAGGAGGGGAAUGUGGCCCGGCUUUCAAUGAAGGGGAGUCUGUAUGAAUGGGAGGGGCAGAUAAGGUCGUGGUUAGCUUCAUCCACACAUAAUAGGACCAUCUUCUUUUGUUUCGUUUUUGAGACAGGGUCUGGCUAUGUAACUCAGCCUGGCCUAGAACCUUAGGUCUUCCUGCUUAAGCUUCUGAGUGCUGGGAUUAUUGGCACACACCACCACGCCCACAAAGUGUGGACUUUAGUGGCCACAGUUAGGAGGAAUGAUAUGAAGUCGGCCGUGGCUUAAGGUGAUGAGCAGAAGUGAGAGAGACCAGGUUACAGGCCACGGUUACGCUAGUCCUGACGAGGCAGGAGCAAGCAGAUAAAGAUGGAAUCAGGAGGGAUGGGGCUCCAAGCCUUCAUUUCCUCAGUGGUAAAAUUCAGAACACCUGCCUUCAGUUCAGAUGGUGCAAGGGUCAGAAGCAGCCGAAGGCAGCCCCUCACCAAGUGCCUGGUGUUUAGUGCUGGGACAACGGUGAUGCUGCGGUGCUCGGUAGAGAUGCUUGAACCAGUAAGAGCUGAAGUUGAAACGAGACCCCUCUGUGCCGUUUCUAACUUGAUAUAUGUACGUUACAACCAGAGGGCUGUCAGUCACAACAAAGAAAGUAUCAGUUAAACCUCCAGGGAGAAGCUGAUGUAAUUAGGAACAAUGAACUUCAGGAUGGAGGGCUGGGGAGGCACUGGAGGUCGCAGGUGCUCCAGUGUCCGGCUCUGCACAGACAGGUGCUGAGAGCUAUGAGGGGCCAUCUCCUUUCCUGGAGCUAAGGCAGCAGAACCAGUUUAGCUGCAGAGUAGGAUGCUGUCCUUACUUUUCAAAAGUAACUCGAACUGACAUUGAACUUGAGUCAAAUUCCACAUGCUUUGAGCAAAAGGUACUUCCCAUUUCAAGAGGGUAGCACAUAGCAUGCUUAAAAACUCCCCCUGCCCUGCCACGGAUCUGGCUUUCUGCAUUGUUACCCAACAGUCCAGGUUUCAUGGAAACAAACCUCUGGGGCCUAUCCGAUUUCCCUUGACAAUACACGGGCUUACAUUUCAGGGUCUGUGUGCUGAAAGCAAAUGGUCAUCGUGCUAUUGCCAAAACCUCCAACAAUUCAAAAAAUGGCUAUGGGAGCACCAGACCUCAGCCCUAGCCCGCUGCCCCGCUAUCCUUGGCCCAUGGCCUGGAGGCCCUAGAGCAAGCACUACUCCUGGGCACAUGGGUGUGGAUUAGCAGCGUGGGCGUAGGUUCAUACCCAGGACACUGGGAGGGAGAGUGGCUGGGCAUAGGUCCCAAGAGCAGCAGGCUUGGCAUGGGUGUGUGUGUCAUGGACAACCUAAUCAGUGAGUGCUCUGUUUGUAAGUCUGCCAAACUGCUGUGUGCAGAUUCAGUGUAUACCAUAUGAGACGAUGCGAUGCGGCAUUUCUGAGUCUGUGUACCUGGCACAGAUGUCAUGUAUCUGGCAAUGUUCGCAGAUGUGUAUCUGUGUGUAUUUAGAUGAUCUGUGUGGGAGAGAAAGGAAUGUUUGAGGGGAAAUGUGGGGAUGCAUCUGCGUGUGUGUGUGUGUGUGUGUGUGUGUGUGUGUGUGUGUGUGUAUGCACAUCCAGUAUGCAGGUAGAGGUAACAUCUAGGAAUGUGCAUAUUUAUAUGUGGCUGGCUUUUCAUGUGUCAGGAAUGCCAUGAUCUAUCCCGAAUGUUGUGCGCAGUGUACACUCUGUAGCACUUGUAAACAUAUCUGUGCAUAGGGGUGGGGUGAAUGCACUCAUAAAUGUGUGUGGCUACUCACGCAUGCAAAUACUCACGCUUUGAAGUGCCACAUCUGUCCAACAUGUGCUUACCACACACUUGAACUUAACGCAUUUUAGUGGGUAUAGUCAAUAUAUAUUUCACGUGUCUGUUUCGUUAAAGAGAUGAUAUUCACAUAACUGUCGUCUUUUCCUUCCUCAGUUAAUACUGUCAGUAUCCCUAUGCCCCUGACUUGUGUUGAAGGCAUGAGCCCAGGAGCUGCUGUCCCUGUGUGACUCUCUCUGUAUCUAAGUGUGGUCCCCUCCUGCUCAUAUGUCAUCCUCACUUUUCAUAAAGGCGCUGUGCUCUCUUCAUUUGUGCCUUCUUAGAGCUAUGCAGGGCCUUUCAAUGCCCCCUCUGUCCCUUUUCCAGCCCCGGCUUUCUAUUUCCAAUCUGAGGCUCAGAACACCAACAGGUCAGCACUUGUUAGAACUCAGAAUAACAGUGGCCGGAUCCACAGAACUCUGUAGGUAGAUGUUAGAACAUUUUGGCUUCCCAGGGAGCCUCUUUGCUUUCUUGUCGGGGUUAUUGACAGGUUUAGAAUCUGAACAUGACCCAUGAGUAACACUUCUUCGGUAAUAUACACAUGAAUGUGUUGGGAAGCAUUUGUGAGUGGUUUUGCCUAUGAGAUGACAGGUAUGUUGGAUCACAUGGAAGUACCGAGGCUUGAAAGUGAACAAACACAUAUUUGAGUUGUGUAAGAUGAGUGUACCCAUGUGGUGCUGUCAGAUCCCGGGCAUAAUAGCAUUAUAUGAAGGAGACCUGAGCUCACAACCACUGGAAGCAACCUGGGCUAUACACAUCCUGGGGAUAUGCCCAUAGCAACAACAGGAGCCUGUAGCAAGAGCAGGAGCCACAUGGGCCCUGUUGCACAGAGCUCAGAGAAGGCGAUGAUGCCCAUGCCAGGGUAGGAAGCAAGGAGUUGGAAGUUUAAUGGCGCAUCUUGGAGAUGCGGCGUGACUCCUGGCCGAGGUCUGGUUCUUCUCCUAGCCCAAGUGGGGACGCUCUCUCUGCCAUCCUUCUGCCUUGGCUAUACCGAGGAUGCGCAAGAGUCUGGUGUCCUCCUAGAGGACUCUCCUGUUACUGUCUUUCCCCUUUGCUGUUCUUCACAUGAAAUGAUGAUAAUAAAGUAAAAUCACGUCAGUCCAAACGUCACAGUUUUAAAGUUCAAAAUGACUUCCCAAGUGUGGCCUGCAGGUCCUCUGCCGGAUCGGUCGGAACAGGUUCUCACGUGAUCGUGGGGAGGUUCAUUCUGAGCCGCUAGUCCCGCCGAGACUUUAUGCUAGUCAGGAAACUGUGUUCUCUGGAAAGGAUUAUCCUGCUGGCUGUCCUACCUCUCUGUUAAGUGGCGGCCCGAUGCCGUGGACUGGUGUGAUUUUAUUGCACUAUUAAUCAUUAUCAUGGGUGAAGCUGCCGUAGAUGGUGUAAAGUGGCUGGGUCCCCCUUCGUUCUGUCUGCACAGGGUAGAAUAAAUAAGCCAGUGCGUGGACAGGAAGGGAGUCUUUAUCCCAGAAUGGGGUUCAGCCUGGAGCACCAUCACCCAGCUUCUUAGCGGAGCCUGGGUGUGGCCGGAUCUCCUCUGGGAUCUCUCUAUUCUCCACUGCACCCUGGGAAUUAAGGACAGCUAUGCCUCUGCUUGAGCAAGCUUCCCAGCCCACCUUUUCUCUCUGCUUGCCUCCCUGCCUCGCUCCCUGCCCGGGGAGUGGCCUCGCUUGCUCUGGGCACCCAGUCUCCUCCCCUAGCAUCCUUUGUCUCCUAUUCACUCCCCUGUUCAUUUCUGUUUCCAGUGCAGUGUGCCACCCCCAGCCCUCCCACCUCCCCUGCUUCCCCGACUCCACCAGUCAACCCCCUCUCGUCUGACCGCCCACGGGGCGCCGACAGCAGCCAUACCAUGCGGGUCUGAGCUCUGACUGCAAGCCCUGGCUGAGGCCAAUGCUGUGAAGCUCCACAGAGCCACCUUCUGAUAGCAUCCAUUGCACACCUGGGGCUCUGGCUUCUCACCCUGGCCUCCUGCCCUUGCACCCACCAUGGGAACACGUCAGAGAGCCAGGCUGGGGACCGGGGCUGCUUCAUAAAGGAACAUGGAUGCCUUCAAGUUCACAUCUGCUGCCCUUGCCCUGAAGCCUGCACUGUCAUGUUAUGGUUCUAAGGCAAGACCCGGGCAUGGCAAGGCCAGGAUGGCGUCCUCUCUGAUGCCCCUGUCACGGGGAGCUCAAGUGCAGUUCUGGAUGGAUUGUGUGGCCCUCCUGCACCAUCCCCCGUGGAGUCCAUGUGCUGGUGGGAAGCUCAUGCUAUGGGUGAGGGCUAGAAGUGAAGACAAGACAGACUCCAUCCCUUGGAACCCGUACAACACAGCGAGAGGCCAGGUCUUGCCAUCACCUUCCUCCCAUUCAGUCCCAGCUGCCUCAGCGAUGCCCAAGGCUUUGGCACGGCUCUGCUGAUGGGUUUCCCAGAGUUCACUGGAGGCCAGCUACCCUGCUUGAGCCAAAGAAGACGAUGAGUUCUAGGGAGAGGCUCCUGGGCUCCCAGAGGGGUCAAGUGUGUGACAGAGAGACGACAGCAGGUCUGCACAGUGUCUGAGGGCAAGUUGGAAGCAAGGAGCAAGAUGGAAGAGAAAAGAGGCUUAGAGAGUGAAGGAAGAGAAGGCAGACGCUUUUCACAAGCAACAGGGAUGUAAAGAAGGAGGGAAAUGGGAAGGGAGAAUAGAAAUGGCUUCCCUAGUGUGGAGCCUUAGGUCAGUGCCAAGCAGAGGGGCUGUCACCUCUGUACCUUCACGUCUUCCUCGGGAGCAGGAGGCGCCAGGAGGACUCAUGCCAGGCACAUGCCAGCUCCAACUGAGGUGCUUGGUAGCAAGGUAUGAGGUAAGGGGUUGUUAGAGUGCUAUAGCCUGUGAGAUGGUCCUAUCUGUGUCAAGGCCUGCUGUCUCUCUCCCAGGGUCAUAGGCAGAGAGAAGACGGUCUCAUAUGAAGUCUGUCAGCCUUGGGGCCUUACCUAGCCAGUUUAAACCCGGAAAGUACUGUGGGCUGACUGAGGUUUGCCCUCGGAGGAGGAAUGAGGAAUUAACUGUGAGGCCAAGUUCUAGGUCCUUCCUUCUCAUCUCAGGCAUCUAGAGCAGGGCCAGAUGCUUUCCUCCACCCCACCUGCCCAGGGAGGACAGGACAGGGAGAGACCCUAGCAGAGCAGAAUCUUCCUCUAGCCCACCUACCGUGCGUGAAUGUAGCCAGACAGCAGCAAAGGAAGGCUAGCUUCAGACACCAAGCCACCAGACCUGCUCUCCACACAUUUUUGCCCAGAGACUUCAGCCUGAACAUCAGUGGCCCAGGAAACAACUGCAUCAGCUCCCAUCAAUCCAUCACCACUCCGUCAUGGUCGGGACAGUUACUGGUUCAUAUGCAAGUAAAGAUGACAAUUCUUUCAACAAAUACUAGUGAAGCACUCUCUGUGUAUCAGGCACUGUUCUAGGUGCUUAGGAUAUUGUCUUGCUUCUGAGGGACUCUGGAUCGGGAGGAUUCCACCUGUUUUUGCCUCUCUCUGGCUUCUGGAAAGUGCUCCUUCAUGACAUCCCCUAUCUGCAUAGUUCAAGCACCCCAAAUCUGCCCCUUCCUCCUUAAAGACUGGUAGAUGGGAUCAGCUCCCAGGUUACCCUCUCUCCCCAUACCCUCUUCCAAAAGAAACAAAAUGUUAGGGCUUUCCCCGUCGUUGUCUCUCCUUUUUUUAAAAAGUGGUAUUUUUUAGAAAUACAUGUGGAAUACCAAGAAAUGUCUUUGCCUCCCCACCACUCUCACCUACAUUUCAUAAAGCUGGCUCUUUAUGUUGCUUUACAUGGCCUUAAUAUAUGUUUUAUGGAAGUGAUCAUGUCAUAGUAUCCAUGUAAUAUAUUUGUCUGGAUGUCAACCCUUUCCUCAGCUCCUGCCCCAACCUGUUUUUCUGUCCACGUCAUUUUUAGCAUAUUCAAGCCACACCCCUUGCCUUUUUGAUCCAAAGAAGGGGAGAGGAAAGAUUUAUUUUAAAGGCAGACCUAUUCUAUGCUUUUGUUUAAAAAGCAGAUCUAUUUUCAAAAUGUGCAAUGUCUGAAAGGGAUUGGUGAUGUGUGAGGGACCGGGGUGGCCGUCCCUGGUCCCAGUCUGUGUCCCUUCCUCUACCCCAGUGGCUUCCCUCCCAUUACCCAGUCAUUGUAAAGGGCUGGUCCCCAGGUUCGCCCGGACUGCAUCCUGCAGGAAAAGGACAUUCCCUCGAAUGUCCUGGUCUAAGAAUUUGACUUUACUGUCAACUUUAGGAAGCAGACCAAGGGAUGCCAAGCACGUGAGGGAAGCGGGUCGGGCAUCUGAGGGAAUGUUUACAAGUACAGACGUGCAGUCCCCACAUGGCCCCUGGACCACCUCCCAUCACCCCUCUGUGAGAAAAGGCCAACAGGUUGCUGGCAGCCAUCUUGAAGGAUGUCAGUCUGCUCCCUGACAGACCCAAGACACCAGGUGGAUCCCUGAGAGUGGGUUGGGGACCCCCUGUGUUCUUUGGUGAAUACUAGGAGCUGCCUGGGCCUCUCACAGUUUCUCCUGAGCCCACUCUGUGUCAUACCUAUUUCCCUCUAAAACUUUUUUUUCCUUGGAGUUAUGGCACAUCGGUCUGGCAUCCAGACUUGAAGCCUGGUUCCUGGCUGGGAAGAGCCCCCACAGUCAAUGUCAAAGCCUAAAUCUUUCCCAAGAAGGAGCCCUCUGUGCUUUGACAGGCUGGGGGCUGGAGUUCUGCUGUGGCAGCUCAGCUCGGCAAGCUUGCUUUCUGACAGGUGAUGUGAGCAAGGAGGUUGGGAAGCUUACAGACCUCUCCCCAGAUCUGAAGUGAUGUGUUUGGGAAUUUGACAGCACUUCUGGCCGGCUUUUGAAGCCUGACCUCCAACUCUGGCAUUUGUUGGCCCUCUUCCCAGACUGGAAGCUCUUGCUGUGAGUGAACAGGGCCCAGGCAUAGGCCUAGGGCUAAGCACCCCAUCUGGGGAAAGUCCUGGCCACCCACACAGGGCCUUCCCAGUGAACACAUUACCUCCUCCACCAAAAAAGCCAAAAGGCUGUGAUCAGAUCAGAUACUGCUACCGUCACUUUAAAAGGAUUGUUCUCAGGAAGCAAGCUUGCAAGCAGCAAGUGUGCUCUCCUGCCUUUGUGAAAGGCAUGUUCUUGGGGCAAGGCUAUUGCAAGAUGGAAUCCUUUCCUUCCCCAUUAGGCACCCUCCUCCUGGCAGCUCUUUAAACUAAGGAAAAAUACUAUAUAUAAAUAUAUAUAUACAUAUCUAUUUAUGCACAUAUUUGGGGCCAAUUUGGUUUGCUAGUGUUAGACAAUAAACCAUACAAGGAAAUCUAUGCUCUCAGUGUCUUUAUUUAGUAUGGAAGUGACCUUAGACAAAGAGUUAAGGUUAGAUGAGCAGCCUCUCUGUUGGGACCACACCGUGGUAGCAUCCCCUGAGCAUCUGUCUAGCCGACCACCCUCCCCUGGAGAAGGGUCGCCUGGCUGAAGUAGGUGAGAACUUGCUCCCUCCAUUCAGUGGCGGCAAUCUUACUGGAUUAGGUAGGAAGAACCCCAGGGAGCUCUGAUUUGUAUCUUGCAAGUUUGUAUAAACCAAUACCGGAAAUAAAAUGAGUGGUUUGUA
RNA transcript from Mus musculus (house mouse), 14262 nucleotides. It is a transcript of the gene named pleckstrin homology domain containing, family A member 6, with no coding region annotated. The transcript is spliced from 28 exons. NCBI's taxonomy places the organism in Eukaryota, Metazoa, Chordata, Mammalia, Rodentia, Muridae. The record is from RefSeq and is marked validated.